GGCUCAGAUUGAACGCUGGCGGCAGGCCUAACACAUGCAAGUCGAACGGUAACAGGAAGCAGCUUGCUGCUUCGCUGACGAGUGGCGGACGGGUGAGUAAUGUCUGGGAAACUGCCUGAUGGAGGGGGAUAACUACUGGAAACGGUAGCUAAUACCGCAUAACGUCGCAAGACCAAAGAGGGGGACCUUCGGGCCUCUUGCCAUCGGAUGUGCCCAGAUGGGAUUAGCUAGUAGGUGGGGUAACGGCUCACCUAGGCGACGAUCCCUAGCUGGUCUGAGAGGAUGACCAGCCACACUGGAACUGAGACACGGUCCAGACUCCUACGGGAGGCAGCAGUGGGGAAUAUUGCACAAUGGGCGCAAGCCUGAUGCAGCCAUGCCGCGUGUAUGAAGAAGGCCUUCGGGUUGUAAAGUACUUUCAGCGGGGAGGAAGGCGAUAAGGUUAAUAACCUUGUCGAUGACGUACCCGCAGAAGAAGC
Molecule: ribosomal RNA, 479 nt
Filed under: Enterobacter sp. 8-8-8
Lineage: Bacteria; Pseudomonadati; Pseudomonadota; Gammaproteobacteria; Enterobacterales; Enterobacteriaceae
Also listed under: 1 other name
Description: bacterial SSU rRNA
Rfam family: Bacterial small subunit ribosomal RNA
Source: RNAcentral